This 253-nucleotide ribosomal RNA is filed under the name uncultured bacterium. RNAcentral's name for it is "partial 16S ribosomal RNA". It matches the Rfam family "Bacterial small subunit ribosomal RNA", at positions 524 to 776 of the family's 1533-position model. The record is from RNAcentral.
UACGAAGGGGGCUAGCGUUGCUCGGAAUGACUGGGCGUAAAGGGCGCGUAGGCGGCUUGCACCGUCAGAUGUGAAAUUCCUGGGCUUAACCUGGGGGCUGCAUUUGAUACGUGUGGGCUUGAGUGCGGAAGAGGGUCGUGGAAUUCCCAGUGUAGAGGUGAAAUUCGUAGAUAUUGGGAAGAACACCAGUGGCGAAGGCGGCGACCUGGUCCGUGACUGACGCUGAGGCGCGAAAGCGUGGGGAGCAAACAGG